This 421-nucleotide ribosomal RNA is filed under the name uncultured bacterium. RNAcentral describes it as "bacterial SSU rRNA". It matches the Rfam family "Bacterial small subunit ribosomal RNA", at positions 355 to 774 of the family's 1533-position model. The record is from RNAcentral.
UGAGGAAUAUUGGGCAAUGCCCGCAAGGGUGACCCAGCAACGCCGCGUGGAGGAUGAAUGUCGUAAGAUUGUAAACUCCUGUUAGAGGGAAGAAUAGUACCGGUUGGACCGGUAUAUGACUGUACCCUCAGAGAAAGCCCCGGCUAACUACGUGCCAGCAGCCGCGGUAAUACGUAGGGGGCAAGCGUUGUCCGGAUUUACUGGGUGUAAAGGGCGCGCAGGCGGGAUAAAAAGUCAGUGGUGAAAUCCUACAGCUUAACUGUAGAACUGCCUUUGAUACUUUUAUUCUUGAGUUCGGGAGAGAGGGACGGAAUUCCAGGUUUAGUGGUGAAAUACGUAGAUAUCUGGAAGAACACCAGUUGCGAAGGCGGUCUCUUGGUCCGACACUGACACUGAGGCGCGAAAGCGUGGGGAGCAAACA